GGGGCCGCCCGGGCUGAGGGGCCCCGCCGAGGCGCUGAGGGGCGCCGGUGGCGGCCCUGGGCAGCCCGAUAAGGACGGCAAAAAGGAAGCCAGUGACACGUGUUAGGAAGAAAAAGCACCAGCAGAGGCUCCUUCCUCAUUAAUAACAUUUAAAACCACGCUGUGUCCUUGAGGGACGACCCCUCGGGCUUUUCGGAUUUUUUUUUUCCAGUACGAUUCCACACCCUUCAGUGCUGAGGACACCGGCUGAUGAGGCUCAAAAUCUCAAAGCUCUUUCGUAAAAAACUCGCUGUAUAAAUUAUGGAGAACAAAAGGGCUCGUUUUGCUGGCUCCCCGGUUUUCUGGUUUCAUGUGACUGCUUGUCUCAGUUAACAUUUCCACUGAGCGGUUCUAAGCCCGGUAAAGAGGGGAAGGAAUGGGCCCAAAGUGCAAGGAGGUUAAUCAGUAGUUACUGAUGUUAACGCAGGGGUUACUAAGUAGUCCCUGCUUUAAAACCUCUAUCAAUGAUUUUUGCAAAAACAUAAGCUCGCAAGUCACAAGAGCCUUUGAUACUAUCAGCGCGUUUUUACAUUUGCCUGGCUUCUUACAGUGAAGGAUUUUUAGUUGAAUAAUGUGGUGCAAGUAUCCUAGAUGAGAUGAGCGUGUUUCCAGGUUACCUCAUGCGGAAAGAUGCCGAUCAUCUUCAAUGACUCUGAGCUUUCACUUGUUUCUUGUUUUAAUUGAAACAAUGAAACAAUAGUUUCAUGUUGCAUGGAAGAGCAUAACAUAUAAAAAAACCACAAACAAACAACACUUUAAGUUUGACGUAUAAUUAUUUUAUCUGCCUGACAAAUGUGAGCUGAAAGAGGCCACCCAGAGCAGCCCUUACUUGCAUCUCUCUGCUCUGCCCAGUGCUCAGAUACACCAACAGCACCCUAGGGAUCUCCCCGGGGAAUGGUCCCACCCCGAGGCUGCCGGAGCUCCUGGAGCCUUUGGGCACCGCUGGGAUUGUUGGGGUGUCUGUGCAGGGACAGGAGCUGGAUUUAACGAUUCUUCCUUCUGCCCUACCAAUUUUCAGGUUUUGUACCAUUUAAAGUCUCACACAGCAGCCCGAAGACAAACCUGACUGCUCUGAGUUUCCUGUGCUCCCACCAUGGUUAAAUGAUUCUCCUCAGCUGAAAACUGUAGCUUAUUGCUCACAUGUUCAUGCAGUAAUGUCACAAAUUCACAUGCAUAAGGUGAAGUUACUUACGGACCAUGUAAACGAAAGUGAAACAGUUAACAGUCCUGCAGGAGAUAUCCCUUUCACUCCACGCUUUCUAAACACAAGAAGGAAUACCAUAUUGAAGGCCAGACUGCACUAUUUGGGCUUUCCUUCUUUCCCAUGGAAUAUUAUUUUUCUCCCUGCUUCUUUGUUUGGACAACUGGUUGUGACUACUUUGGUGCAAUUUAAAUAUCUUCUGCUUCCAGAGGCUGCAAACAGCUGCCCCUGAUCCACACUGCCUUCACAGCAGGUGCUAGCAUGGAUUACUUUCUGUGACCUCAUUGAUAUUCAUGAAAAGUCUGUGACUCUUGAGGCUUUAUAAACAUUUCUUGUUAUUAGGACACACAAAGAUCAGAAACACCAAAUAAGCCAGAUAUACCUAAGAAAGCAAGUUAAGAAUUGGACUAAUAUUUCUAACCAAUAGCUAAUCCUUUUGUGAAAAAGCUGACCAGCAGCAAAAAUUUAAAUCCAAAGAAAAGUAGUAAACUACUACUAAAAGUACUUUCCUAUUUUUCAGAGGUUUUUGUGCUAUAAAGAGACUCAGCCUAGUGAUACAGAUUAGAAAACAGCAACAGAUCCAAACCCUUUGGAAACUUGUGAACAUGCAAAGGAAGGGUAAGUAAGAAAAAGUCUGAGAGCCCCACUCUCCCAGGCAGAGCAGAGAGAGUCCUUUGAUGCUUGGUGCUGUUACUGAAUGGUUACUUCUGCAUGCAGAGGAGUUCAGAGAGGAAAGCAGCUACACUGAGGUAUAACAUAAAACCCCAUUUUCUUCAGGCUUAUCUCUGGUUUUUCCUGAAAUACUCCCUUUUUUAUCUUUCUGACCUUUGAACUCUGCCAAAAGCACCAUCUGGUGUUGAGGUACCUUGCAAAACCUUUCCCCACUUCUUGUAUUUGGAUUAAUUUACCCUCAUCAUGAAACUUAUAAACCUGCUACAUCAUAUCAACUGCAUGAUGGAGAUUGACAAAAAAUCUUUCUACUUGCAAGAGAUUGGGGAAAAACUCCAAAGUUGAACUGUAACUACAGCUAUUAAAGUUUAAAAACUAAAGUUAAAACAGUGUGCAGCUCAUCAAGCAGAGGACCUCUCUGCUCAGCAGUGAAACGAGGAACAAAAAAUUGUAACUGGUUUAUGGAGUUCCUUUUGUCAGACUGAUUUUUUAUCUGAGGAAGGAGUUUCAAUGGCUCCAUAUGCAGAGCAAGCAAGGGGUUUUCAAUGGCAAUCACUCAUAUCUUUGCAAAUUAUUAUUGUCAGAGUUAAAUUCUCUCAUCUGCUGUAUUUUGGCUGAAUGUGCCUUAACAAUUGUUUUGAGCAUUGUGGCAAGAAAGGGAAGGAGAGUCACUAGAUGGCAUUUUUACUUCAGCUUUUACCACUGUGCAAGUUCAGUUGCUGUCCUAAAUGUGAGGCCUCUCUUCUCUCAGUCAGGAUGGUUUCAAUCCCAGGAGAAGGUAGGUGAACUCUUGCUGGAAUAAUUACAGCAAAUCCCAUUUUUCCUUCUACACAACAAUUUGGUAAAAGGAGCAUCCAAAAGGGUCUCGCUCACUCAGAAAACACCUCUGGAACAAACACUGGACCUCAGUGAGAUCAUCCCUGACAGAGCUCUGCAGCAAAGACAAACAAGCAGCUUCCACUUGUGCCAGCUGAGGCUCAAAGGAAAAGGAUUAUUUUGCUGAGGCUAAGAGCUGAGUCUCAAGGGUCGGGGAGCUGUGGAUUUUAGAAUGUUUGGGAAAGGCAGAACCACUCAAUGACCAGUGGGGUCAGCAUGGCCUUGUGAGGCACCUGAGAUUAGGAAAAUAAUAUGAACUUUGGAGGGGAAAAAGAAGUUACAACUACAGUUAUGUUCUAGUUAUGGGAGGAUCUGUGGGCGAGUGAUUUUUCAUUUUUGUCUCAAGCAUGAUUUUUAAAGGAUAUCCCAGAAGCAAAUUUAAAGAGCUUAGAACUUACUUU
Molecule: non-coding RNA, 3186 nt
Organism: Taeniopygia guttata (zebra finch)
Lineage: Eukaryota; Metazoa; Chordata; Aves; Passeriformes; Estrildidae
Source: RefSeq, a predicted model, not a curated record